Molecule: ribosomal RNA, 439 nt
Filed under: uncultured bacterium
Lineage: Bacteria
Description: partial 16S ribosomal RNA
Rfam family: Bacterial small subunit ribosomal RNA
Source: RNAcentral
CCUACGGGAGGCAGCAGUAGGGAAUAUUGCUCAAUGGGGGAAACCCUGAAGCAGCAACGCCGCGUGGAGGAUGAAGGUUUUCGGAUUGUAAACUCCUUUUGUUAGAGAAGAUAAUGACGGUAUCUAACGAAUAAGCACCGGCUAACUCCGUGCCAGCAGCCGCGGUAAUACGGAGGGUGCAAGCGUUACUCGGAAUCACUGGGCGUAAAGUGCGCGUAGGCGGGAUAGCAAGUCAGAUGUGAACUCCUAUGGUUAAACCAUAGAACUGCAUUGAACACUGUUAUUCUAGAGGAUGGGAGAGGUAGGUGGAAUUCUUGGUGUAGGGGUAAAAUCCGUAGAGAUCAAGAGGAAUACUCAGUGCGAAGGCGACCUGCUAGAACAUAACUGACGCUGAUGCGCGAAAGCGUGGGGAGCAAACAGGAUUAGAUACCCAGUAGUC